Molecule: long non-coding RNA, 384 nt
Filed under: Hordeum vulgare
Lineage: Eukaryota; Viridiplantae; Streptophyta; Magnoliopsida; Poales; Poaceae
Description: long non-coding RNA (HVUL_LNC002157)
Source: RNAcentral
UGGUGGCGCUUCUGGAUCUUUACCGCUAUCUGGCACCGAGGUUCCAUUCUGGCUGUGAACUUUGCCCUUGUUUUCAUCUAUAAACAUACCUGGUGGCGCUUCUGGAUCUUUACCGCUAGCUGGCACCGAGGUUCCAUUCUGGCUGUGAACUUUGCCCUUGUUUUCGUCCAAGGUAACUGGUUCUCCGACCGGUGGUGGUUUGCCUUCCUUCCCUGUUUCUCUAGUGUGAGCACUAAGGUCUGCGGAUACUGGCUCACUGCCCUUCACUAGUCUUACAUCAAGAAGGGAGGAGUACUCGAUCUGCAGUUGACAUUGAAGGGUGAUGUUUGUUUGCCAUGUUUGCAUACAUGGUUAGAUUGGAUAUUGAACACGAGUGAGGAUUAC